CGAGAGGAUCUUCUAGAAGGUUGCCUAGUUUUUUUCUUUGAUGUGGAUGAUAAUGCAGCUUCAUUCUGUUUGCUCUUCCUAGGCGCGGAUGAUGAUUUACCUCCACUCUGUCUUGUGCGCUUAGGUUUAGGUGUGGAUGACAAUUUGGCUCCACUUUGUUUUCUUCGCUUAGGCGUGGAUGAUAAUGGUUCCCCAUUCUCUUCUGUUUGCUUAGGUGUUGAUGAUGCAGUUACAGUACUUCUUCUUUUCCUCAGGGAAGAAUGAACAUUAUUUGCUUUCUCUUCUUCUUGACCU
RNAcentral lists this long non-coding RNA (294 nucleotides) under Ricinus communis (castor bean). RNAcentral's name for it is "long non-coding RNA (RCOM_LNC000841)". The record is from RNAcentral. Lineage: Eukaryota; Viridiplantae; Streptophyta; Magnoliopsida; Malpighiales; Euphorbiaceae.